GUCUACGGCCACAUCACGUUGAAAGCACCCGAUCUCGUUCGAUCUCGGAAGUUAAGCAACCUCGGGCUUGGUUAGUACUUGGAUGGGUGACCGCCUAGGAAUACCAAGUGUUGUAAUCU
This is a ribosomal RNA of Saccostrea cuccullata (small rock oyster), 119 nucleotides long. The record is from RefSeq and is a predicted model, not a curated record. NCBI's taxonomy places the organism in Eukaryota, Metazoa, Mollusca, Bivalvia, Ostreida, Ostreidae.